GGCCCGUUGGUCAAGUGGUUAAGACACCGCCCUUUCACGGCGGUAACAUGGGUUCAAAUCCCGUACGGG
This 69-nucleotide transfer RNA is filed under the name Lactobacillus delbrueckii. RNAcentral's name for it is "tRNA-Glu". It matches the Rfam family "tRNA". From Rfam's summary of the family: Transfer RNA (tRNA) molecules are approximately 80 nucleotides in length. Their secondary structure includes four short double-helical elements and three loops (D, anti-codon, and T loops). The record is from RNAcentral. Lineage: Bacteria; Bacillati; Bacillota; Bacilli; Lactobacillales; Lactobacillaceae.